Molecule: small nucleolar RNA, 120 nt
Filed under: Echinops telfairi (small Madagascar hedgehog)
Lineage: Eukaryota; Metazoa; Chordata; Mammalia; Afrosoricida; Tenrecidae
Description: Small nucleolar RNA SNORA61 (ENSETEG00000024636.1)
Source: RNAcentral
ACCCUUCUGAUUCCUUACCCAUAUGACCUAAACACUGGUCUGAGUGGUUGUCAAAGGAAGAAAAUAAAAUUGAAAUGGACUUAAAUACUUUCAUGAUACAGGUGCUGGUUUCAAAUAAAC